This is a long non-coding RNA of Planococcus citri (citrus mealybug), 2342 nucleotides long. RefSeq lists it as uncharacterized. The transcript has 3 exons. The record is from RefSeq and is a predicted model, not a curated record. NCBI's taxonomy places the organism in Eukaryota, Metazoa, Arthropoda, Insecta, Hemiptera, Pseudococcidae.
UCCUCUUGAAUUCCACUCUACGUAGUUAAUUUCUGUACCUAUUGAAGACAUUUAAACUGAAGUCGUUUUAUGUACUGUAUAGUGUUGUAGAUACGUAAUUUGAGUUUAUAAUUCUUGAGAAAUGCCUUCGUCCUCAUCGUUUUUUUUCCUUAAGUCUCUGUUGAUCUCGAGAAAUAAAAACGAUUGGGAUACUUACAGGUUCAUUUUUGCUUCUGAUUGGAUGCGGAUCUUCCGCAGCCGAUUGAACGAAAUGAUACAAAAAUUGGAAAGAAAUCGUGAAAAUGUGGAAAAAGAUCGUGAAUUGGAGCGCGAAAAGCAUUAAUUGUAAAUCGUUAAAUUAUUAGACAUGGAUAAUAAUGGAAUCCCAAAAAUGUUACCAACUCAGAUAGCGAAUCAGGUUAAAGAAAAAGGGAUUAAAAGUGCAUAGUUUUCUUCAGUGAGUUCUAGUUGUAGUACAUAGUAAUUAAUACCGAUUACUUUGAUUUUACUGGAACAAGAAAAAGUCAGAUGACUUGAAGAACGACGUUAUUAAUAAUGUUUUGUUAUGUAGCAUCACCUUCUGAGUUGUUCAGAUGACUCUUCUCUUACAGGUUAUUGUUUACUAAAAACUGAUUAAUAAUAGAGAAAAACUCGCUGUUUUGGUUGCUUGAGAUGGACAAGAAGAGAAUUACCAUUUUAAAUGCCAAACGAACAUGUUUAAGAAUAUGUACCUCUACCUACCCUCUUUGAUAGGGUGUACGUACCUUUUUUUGAUCCCAGUCCCAAGGGUUUGUGGGUGUGGCAAGUUUAUUUUUAUACUGAAAAAAACAUUUUUUUUUUUUGCAAAAAUCAAGAACUUAUUUUUCAGAAGAGAAAAUAAUUUUUCUUUAUUUAAAUUUACUUUUUUUUUUGAAAUUAGGAGAACUGAUUCAGUGGUUUGGGGUGGUUGAGAAAAAGCAUGAUUUCAAUUUCACAAAAUAAAUAUGCUAUACCUACUAAUUGAAAUACCAACAUUAUUAAUAAAUCUGAUUAAUUAUUUUAUGAAAUAUUAAAUAAUUGUACAUAGCUUGUUUACAAGUAGGUACAUGAUAUACUGUAGGGUAUUCAUUUGAAUUACACUGUUGUGGUAUUAUAAAUGGAUUUACAUACUUCUCAUUAUGUUGGGCUAUUGCAUUAUCGAGCACAAAGCACCGAGCAGAUAGCCUAUAUCUCAUCCACAUCAUCACUGUGUGCACUUUCCAAGUGCCUGUUGAGGUGAUCUUUAUGCACAAAUGUUAUUUUGCAUUUUGGACAUUAAAUUUUGAUUUAAAAAUAAAAAAAUAAAUAGAAGAUGAGUAUCUUCAGUUAUUCUGUUGCAAUAAUAUAAAUGGACUAACUUACUUACAUCACUUAGGGUUCCUGCAUAUUUCACUGCACGGUUGGUAAUUGUAUAACCAAGUUAUGUGAGUUGGACGUGGAUGUCCUGUGAAAGAAGGGAGGGGAAAACUAUUAGGAUGGGUAGCUAUUUUGACAUUAAUUCUCGAUGGGUACCUAUAGGCAGGGCUCGGAUAUCCUUUCCCUAAAAAAACCAAAAUAUGCGCUUAAAUAUUCCCCGAAAAAUGCCAAAAUAUGCUUUAAAAAGUAAAAAUAUUCCCAAAUUUUAGGGCAUUGUUUUACAGGAAAAAUCAAUUCCUGUAGAAUUUUACUAAUAUUGUUGUGUAAUACCAAGCAUUCACGAACAUAAAUGAAAAACAGACCAUCCUUGGCCCUUCAAACCAUAUUAGUCUUCCAGUAAGGAGCCUCUGAAAGUUGAAAAAAAUCAAAAAAAAAUUUAGAAUAAAUCAAAAUCAGGAAAUUUUUUUAAAUAUCUUAUUUUCAUACUAGAAUUGUUCUACAUAACUUCCUUUUCAAGGAAAAACCUUCGUUGGACCUCCAAAUCAGUGCAUAAAGAAGGGGGCAGGAGGUCAUGAUUACCCAGAAUGCCACUGGAAAAGGUGUAAUAUGAUUUUUAUUCUUACUUUUAGGACUCGAAAAGUAAUUUAAAAACCGUCCCCCUUCGCAUUUAUAGCUUUUUUUCAAGAGAACACGUUAUUUGGAUAGCUGUAGGUUAGUCCGUUGCCCCUAAGAUUACAAAAAUUAUCUAUAGGUCAUCUAAAAGGAAAUCUGAUGCAAUCUACCUAGAUAAAACUCAUAAAAAUAAGAAUUCGAUUAAAUGCGUAUUUAACGAGGAAAAUAAGUUUGAAUCAUGGUUAUCCAAAUCAUCACAGAAUUUGUACAUUAAAUGAUGCAAGAUUAGUGCCCAGUGGCUUUAAUUUCCAAGUGGAAAGAGCUACCAAAUGGAAAUUUUUUUUUAAAUUGAUCACUUUUUAGAAAAAUGAAUUUGC